AUGUUCAGAAGAAGAGCCUGAAGGUCCAGCAGUGGUUCAGAUGUUCAGAAGAAGAGCCUGAAGGUCCAGCAGUGGUUCAGAUGUUCAGAAGAAGAGCCUGAAGGUCCAGCAGUGGUUCAGAUGUUCAGAAGAAGAGCCUGAAGGUCCAGCAGUGGUUCAGAUGUUCAGAAGAAGAGCCUGAAGGUCCAGCAGUGGUUCAGUUGUUCAGAAGAAGAGCCUGAAGGUCCAGCAGUGGUUCAGUUGUUCAGAAGAAGAGCCUGAAGGUCCAGCAGUGGUUCAGAUGUUCAGAAGAAGAGCCUGAAGGUCCAGCAGUGGUUCAGAUGUUCAGAAGAGCCUGAAGGUCCAGCAGUGGUUCAGAUGUUCAGAAGAGCCUGAAGGUCCAGCAGUGGUUCAGAUGUUCAGAAGAGCCUGAAGGUCCAGCAGUGGUUCAGAUGUUCGCUCAGCUGGCUCUAAGUGGGUAAAAAUAUUCAAACAAAUCCUUCACUGAAUAUUUUCUUCACCAGUGGAACAGCAUGAAUGAAAACAUGUCAGAGCUGAUUGACUUCCUGUUGGGUCACAGAUCCAGUUAAUGUCUUGUUAGGACGAGUUUAUGUUUAAAUUUAAUUCUCUUAAACCCUUUAUAUGAAUAAACUAUAAAGUGUGAUGAAGAAGAAACCAAACUGUGUAAAACAGGCUCAGUGUUGGACUGAGAAGGUCGCUGAUGUAGAACGUUUCUCCUGAUAAAUGAACACCAGAGACUGAUGAGAGCAGCCAGAGCUGGUUUAUGAGCUUCCAGUAGUCGAAUCAUCUGAUGAAAUCACUGUUCAGGUGGUUUGUUUCUGCCAUAUUUAUGUUCAGUCUGACUGCAGCUACAAAAACAGAAGCUGUAGAAACUCUGCAGUCAUGAAAAAAGAAACUUUAAAAUUGUUGAUUUUAUCAUUUUAAAGGUUACCAUUUAUUAAAAACUGUUAAAAGUCAUGAAGUGAAACUUCAACAUUUGGUCUAUUUUCUGUAUUUUGUUUCUCUGCUCCUUUAAUUCUUAUGGAGACGCUUUGAUCGGUUCCAGUCCGACUCCUCUGUAGCCGAACAUGAUUUCUUUAAAGCCUCGUAUUUAUUCAAGUUGAAUUUCUGGGUCUCUUGACUACAGAGCAGUUCUAGCUGCUGUAGAAAUUAAAACAUUCAGUCCACACAGACUUUAAACCAGUAAAGGUGGAAACUUUAACAAGGAAACCAAACUGGGAG
Molecule: long non-coding RNA, 1221 nt
Organism: Amphiprion ocellaris (clown anemonefish)
Lineage: Eukaryota; Metazoa; Chordata; Actinopteri; Pomacentridae
Source: Ensembl